UACGGAGGGUGCAAACGUUGCUCGGAAUCAUUGGGCGUAAAGCGCACGUAGGCGGCCCAGCAAGUCGGGUGUGAAAGCCCUCGGCUUAACCGAGGAAGUGCAUUCGAAACUACUGAGCUUGAAUACUGGAGAGGAUCGUGGAAUUCCCGGUGUAGAGGUGAAAUUCGUAGAUAUCGGGAGGAACACCAGUGGCGAAGGCGGCGAUCUGGACAGAUAUUGACGCUGAGGUGCGAAAGCGUGGGGAGCAAACAGG
This 253-nucleotide ribosomal RNA is filed under the name uncultured bacterium. Its description in RNAcentral is "partial 16S ribosomal RNA". It matches the Rfam family "Bacterial small subunit ribosomal RNA", at positions 524 to 776 of the family's 1533-position model. The record is from RNAcentral.